CCCUUAGAUGUUCUGGGCUGCACGCGCGCUACACUGAAGCUAUCAACACGUUUUCCCUCCCUAAGAAGGGCGGGUAACCUUUUGAAUCAGCUUCGUGGUAGGGAUCGGGGCUUGCAAUUGUUCCCCGUGAACCAGGAAUUCCUAGUAGACGCGAGUCAUAAGCUCGCAUCGAUUAAGUCCCUGCCCUUUGUACACACCGCCCGUCGCUACUACCGAUUGAACGUUUUAGUGAGGCAUUUGGACCGACGCAUCUCAGUUUAACCGCUGGUUUGUGUUGGAAAGACUUCCAAACUUGAGCGUUUAGAGGAAGUAAAAGUCGUAACA
RNAcentral lists this ribosomal RNA (324 nucleotides) under uncultured eukaryote. Its description in RNAcentral is "partial 18S ribosomal RNA". It matches the Rfam family "Eukaryotic small subunit ribosomal RNA", at positions 1470 to 1796 of the family's 1831-position model. The record is from RNAcentral.